RNAcentral lists this transfer RNA (74 nucleotides) under Gleimia hominis. RNAcentral's name for it is "tRNA-Ile". It matches the Rfam family "tRNA". Rfam says of the family: Transfer RNA (tRNA) molecules are approximately 80 nucleotides in length. Their secondary structure includes four short double-helical elements and three loops (D, anti-codon, and T loops). The record is from RNAcentral. Lineage: Bacteria; Bacillati; Actinomycetota; Actinomycetes; Actinomycetales; Actinomycetaceae.
GCCCUGGUAGCUCAGUCGGUUAGAGCAGCGGACUCAUAAUCCGUUUGUCGCGGGUUCGAGCCCCGCCCGGGGCA